CUUCAGGGCGGGGUGAAAUUCCCCACCGGCUGUAAACGAUUUUUCGUAAGCCAGCGAGUAGAAUUCGUUUGAAUUCUUCAUGAUACGGUGAAAGUCCGUAGCCGACGGUAGAGUCCGGAUGAAAGAAGU
This 129-nucleotide non-coding RNA is filed under the name uncultured Treponema sp. RNAcentral's name for it is "FMN riboswitch (RFN element)". It matches the Rfam family "FMN riboswitch aptamer (RFN element)". From Rfam's summary of the family: The RFN element is a highly conserved domain that is found frequently in the 5'-untranslated regions of prokaryotic mRNAs that encode for flavin mononucleotide (FMN) biosynthesis and transport proteins. The record is from RNAcentral. Lineage: Bacteria; Pseudomonadati; Spirochaetota; Spirochaetia; Treponematales; Treponemataceae.